CAUUAGGUUGAUUCUGCCUAACGUAGAUGCUAGUCUCUGAGAUUAAGCCAUGCAUGUCAGUGAAGCCUUACGGUGGAACGGCGAACGGCUCAGUAAUGUUGCGGUAAUUUGGUCUCUGUGUGUAAACUAACCACGGUAACCUGUGGCUAAAAGCGGAGAAUAAGGCGCAACCCUAUCAGCUUGUUGGUAGUGUAAAGGACUACCAAGGCCAUGACGGGUAACGGGAAAUCAGGGUUUGAUUCCGGAGAGGGAGCCUGAGAGAUGGCUCCCACGUCCAAGGACGGCAGCAGGCGCGAAACUUGUCCACUCCUUACGGGGGAGACAGUCAUGAGACGUGAGUAUAAGACCUGAGUGUAAAGACCUUAGGGUGAAGCAAUUGGAGGGCAAGCUUUGGUGCCAGCAGCCGCGGUAACUCCAACUCCAAGAGUGUCUAUGGUGGAUGCUGCAGUUAAAGGGUCCGUAGUCGUGAAUGCAAUUAAAUGUCGUUGUUCAAUAGCGAUGAGUUUGCUAAUGUUUGCGGAACGGAUAGGGAGUGUAGUAUAGACUGGCGAAGAAUGAAAUCUCAAGACCCAGUUGGACUAACGAGCGAAGCG
Molecule: ribosomal RNA, 593 nt
Organism: Enterocytozoon bieneusi H348
Lineage: Eukaryota; Fungi; Microsporidia; Enterocytozoonidae
Rfam family: Microsporidia small subunit ribosomal RNA
Source: Rfam